GCGUUGGUGGUGCAACGGCUCAGCACACACUCCCGGAAAGAGUGGAAAAUGGGUUCGAAUCCAGGCUGACGCA
Non-coding RNA from Parelaphostrongylus tenuis, 73 nucleotides. NCBI's taxonomy places the organism in Eukaryota, Metazoa, Nematoda, Chromadorea, Rhabditida, Metastrongylidae. The record is from the annotation of a GenBank genome assembly.